Molecule: long non-coding RNA, 206 nt
Organism: Zophobas morio
Lineage: Eukaryota; Metazoa; Arthropoda; Insecta; Coleoptera; Tenebrionidae
Exons: 3
Source: RefSeq, a predicted model, not a curated record
AUUUUAUUUGAAAGAAAACUGAUUUUUUAUUAUGGAAAAGGAAAAUUCAGUGUUAAGAGCGUCCACUCCAGUAAAGACUAAAUUGCUUUCCACUCCGUUAAGUGAAAGAAAAAAUAUCCAACCUUUUUUAAUUUAUAAAGAUGCUCGCAAAAGUUUAAAUUUUGAAGCCUCUCGACGACUUUCCUCUUAUGAUAAACCACUUUCCU